RNAcentral lists this ribosomal RNA (1322 nucleotides) under metagenome. RNAcentral describes it as "bacterial LSU rRNA". It matches the Rfam family "Bacterial large subunit ribosomal RNA", at positions 1561 to 2925 of the family's 2925-position model. The record is from RNAcentral.
AGUGGAUGGGGAGCAACCUAGUUGUGCGUGUGUAAAGGUAGUGCCAAGAAAAGCGGUGAUCAUGAUGAAAAUCAAUUCCCGGUACCCGAAACCGACACAGGUGGGCAAGUAGAGAAUACUGAGGGGCGCGAGGUAACUCUCUCCAAGGAACUCGGCAAAAUGACCCCGUAACUUAGGGAGAAGGGGUGCCACCGAGAGGUGGUCGCAGUGAAGAGGCCCAGGCGACUGUUUAGCAAAAACAUAGGUCUCUGCAAACUCGAAAGAGGAGGUAUAGGGGCUGACGCCUGCCCAGUGCCGGAAGGUUAAAGAAGUUGGUCAGUCUUAGGAUAAAGCUAGCGACUGAAGCCCCGGUGAACGGCGGCCGUAACUAUAACGGUCCUAAGGUAGCGAAAUUCCUUGUCGGGUAAGUUCCGACCCGCACGAAAGGCGUAACGAUCUGGGCGCUGUCUCGGAGAGAGGCUCGGCGAAAUAGGAUUGUCUGUGAAGAUACGGACUACCUGCAUUUGGACAGAAAGACCCUAUGAAGCUUUACUAUAGCUUGGAAUUGUGUUCGGGCUUCCUGUGCGCAGGAUAGGUGGGAGGCGAAGAAGGUAUUCUUGUGGGGAUACUGGAGCCAACGGUGAGAUACCACUCUCAGGAGGCUAGAAUUCUAACUUAAUUAAGGACAGUUUCAGGUGGGUAGUUUGACUGGGGCGGUCGCCUCCAAAAAGGUAACGGAGGCGUACAAAGGUUCCCUCAGACUGGUUGGAAAUCAGUCGCAGAGUGCAAAGGCAGAAGGGAGCUUGACUGCGAGAAGUACAGUUCGAGCAGGGUGGAAACACGGUCUUAGUGAUCCGACGGUGCUGUGUGGAAGGGCCGUCGCUCAACGGAUAAAAGUUACUCUAGGAUAACAGGCUGAUCUCCCCCAAGAGUUCACAUCGACGGGGAGGUUUGGCACCUCGAUGUCGGCUCAUCGCAACCUGGGGCGGAAGUACGUCCCAAGGGUUGGGCUGUUCGCCCAUUAAAGCGGUACGUGAGCUGGGUUCAGAACGUCGUGAGACAGUUCGGUCCAUAUCCGAUGUAGGCGUGAGAAUAUUGAGAGGAGCCUUCCUUAGUACGAGAGGACCGGGAAGGACGCACCGCUAGUGUACCUGUUAUGAUGCCAAUUGUAAACGCAGGGUUGCCAAGUGCGGAGAGGAUAACCGCUGAAAGCAUCUAAGUGGGAAGCCCACCUCAAGAUGAGUAUUCUGGUGUAAGGUCACGGGAAGACGACCCGUAAAUAGGCACGAGGUGGAAGUGCAGAGAUGUAUGAAGCCGAAGUGUACUAAUAGACCGUCGGCUUG